RNAcentral lists this ribosomal RNA (1323 nucleotides) under metagenome. Its description in RNAcentral is "bacterial LSU rRNA". It matches the Rfam family "Bacterial large subunit ribosomal RNA", at positions 1561 to 2925 of the family's 2925-position model. The record is from RNAcentral.
AGUGGAUGGGGAGCAACCUUGUUGUGCGUGUGUAAAGGUAGUGCCAAGAAAAGCGAUGAUCAUGUUGAAAAUCAAUUCCCGGUACCCGAAACCGACACAGGUGGGCAAGUAGAGAAUACUAAGGGGCGCGAGGUAACUCUCUCCAAGGAACUCGGCAAAAUGACCCCGUAACUUAGGGAGAAGGGGUGCCACCGAGAGGUGGUCGCAGUGAAGAGGCCCAGGCGACUGUUUAGCAAAAACAUAGGUCUCUGCAAACUCGAAAGAGGAGGUAUAGGGGCUGACGCCUGCCCAGUGCCGGAAGGUUAAAGAAGUUGGUCAGUUUUAGGAUGAAGCUAGCGACUGAAGCCCCGGUGAACGGCGGCCGUAACUAUAACGGUCCUAAGGUAGCGAAAUUCCUUGUCGGGUAAGUUCCGACCCGCACGAAAGGCGUAACGAUCUGGGCGCUGUCUCGGAGAGAGGCUCGGCGAAAUAGGAUUGUCUGUGAAGAUACGGACUACCUGCAUUUGGACAGAAAGACCCUAUGAAGCUUUACUAUAGCUUGGAAUUGUGUUCGGGCUUCCUGUGCGCAGGAUAGGUGGGAGGCGUAGAAGGUAUUCUUGUGGGGAUACUGGAGCCAACGGUGAGAUACCACUCUCAGGAGGCUAGAAUUCUAACUUAAUUAAGGACAGUUUCAGGUGGGUAGUUUGACUGGGGCGGUCGCCUCCAAAAAGGUAACGGAGGCGUACAAAGGUUCCCUCAGACUGGUUGGAAAUCAGUCGAAGAGUGCAAAGGCAGAAGGGAGCUUGACUGCGAGAAGUACAGUUCGAGCAGGGUGGAAACACGGUCUUAGUGAUCCGACGGUGCUGUGUGGAAGGGCCGUCGCUCAACGGAUAAAAGUUACUCUAGGAUAACAGGCUGAUCUCCCCCAAGAGUUCACAUCGACGGGGAGGUUUGGCACCUCGAUGUCGGCUCAUCGCAACCUGGGGCGGAAGUACGUCCCAAGGGUUGGGCUGUUCGCCCAUUAAAGCGGUACGUGAGCUGGGUUCAGAACGUCGUGAGACAGUUUGGUCCAUAUCCGAUGUAGGCGUGAGAAUAUUGAGAGGAGCCUUCCUUAGUACGAGAGGACCGGGAAGGACGCACCGCUGGUGUACCUGUUAUGAUGCCAAUUGUAAACGCAGGGUAGCCAAGUGCGGAGAGGAUAACCGCUGAAAGCAUCUAAGUGGGAAGCCCACCUCAAGAUGAGUAUUCUGGUGUAAGGUCACGGGAAGACGACCCGUAAAUAGGCACGAGGUGGAAGUGCAGAGAUGUAUGAAGCCGAAGUGUACUAAUAGGCCGUCGGCUUGA